UCUUCCGCACCCAGCUGAGCAGGGUGAGCGCAGCAGGGGCCGCCUGCUCCGCUGCUCCCAAGGGACUGUGUCCCCGCCAGCCCCUCUGACCCCGGCUCGCUGAGGCUGGGCCUGGGACACAGGGCUGCCCCUCUCAUCCCCCCAGCCGCAUCGCCCAGAUAUUGGGAAAUGUUGAGUGAAAUAAACCAGACACACAGCUCAAUGUGGUAGCUCUCAUUAGACGGAAUCAAGCGGAAACAAAGGACGCGAUAGAGUAAUAGAAAACUCUUCAAAUUUGGAGAAAGACCUUAACAGACAAGCAGUGCACGCGGAGCUCCCAAAUGGGCACAAUCGGAAAAGAACUCCACAGCGCAUCACAGCCGGAAUCCCAGCUCUCCAAGAACAGCACUCUUCACCUGCUGAGGACACACAGGCCACUCCCAAGGUUGAGCUAGAAAAUGCAACCCUGAGCUGGACCAGCAGCCCCAAAACAGCAGGUAUGCACCUGUCCGCAAGCUGAGCUUUGAUGAACACAGGCAGGAGCCAGUGGUGGUAAAGGCCAUGUGCCACCAUGUCUGCUUGCACCUGGAACUGCAUAGUGUGCUACUGACCUUCUGGAUCUCUGGCAAGACGUAGCUCACCCUGCACCUGGAGCCACCACAGACUGGGGUCCAGCGCCCAGGCCCUGACAGGGCUGCUUAGUCUUUAUGCUUCCCACUGCUACCUGCUAUGGGCACCCUUGGCCAGCAACUGAGAGUCCACUUCGCCUCCACUUGCCUGCAGAUGACGUGAGCAGCGGCCCUGGAAGCAUUCCUGUAGUCUCACGCAUGAGACUGACCAUAAGCUCUGGAGGUUGUUUGCAAGUUCCAGGCCAGCCUGGGCAAUGUAAUGAGACCCUGUCUCAAAAAUCUAAAAAGGCCAAGGAUAUAGCUCAAUGGCAGAGCACUUACCUAGCAUGCACAAGACCCUCUCCCCCUAAACGCUUGCUGAGAAUUUGCUAUACACCCGUCAGUUACUUUACUUGACACCUAUAACUACCCUACCUCUUAGAAAUUGUACGAUUUCCAUUUUACUGUUUCCCAUGAAUGUACUUAAGGUUAUCUACCGCUAUUGUGUUUCUGGGUCAAAAAUACCGUGUAACAAUUCUGGGGCUGGUGACAUCACACCGGUAUCUUGAAAUCAGUGAUGCUAAGAGACGUUACAGGAAGGAAAUCAAAAAGUGCUAUGAUGGAAGCCUGAUUUGCUGUUUGACUUACACAAACAACAACGAAAUGAUAAAGUUAAAUCUGUGGAUGAAACUUAGGGGUGGAUCUUUUGAGUUGCGAUUACAUUGUACAUAGCACAGAAAAGUGGAAGAAGCCUUUGUCAGGGGUUUCCCGUCCAUUAUGGGAUUCGGCAAAGUUGUUGAUGUUACUGACAAUCGGUAAAGGGGGACGUGUGUCCUCCUUGUCUUCUUUCACCUGCUACUCAAACUUGGCAACCGGAAAACGGCUACGACUCAAAAUUUUAGGAUAUAUGAAGGAAAGUACUUUCUAUGAAUACAGUGAUGGUAUGGAAUUUGCAAUGAUGACUGUUUUUUUGUGUGUGCAACCAAGUUGUUGUUUUAAAUGUAAAAUCCCCCCCCCAAAUGUCUCAUGUGGGGGUUUUGGAAGGUGUUUGGAGCAUGGAGGUUCUACAAGUAUUAGUUAAUUUAUCCACUGGUGAGUUCAUGUGCUAUUAGGAGGCAGGGCCUUGGUUGGAGGUGGGUCACUGGGGAUGGGACCUGGAGGGAGCUGUCCUUGUCCCUGGAUCCUCUUCUCUCUCCUUCCUGGUUGUCAUGACAGCAGCUUUGCUCUACCAGGACUUCCCACUGUCGUGUUUCUGCCUUUGAUCCAGCUAACCAUGGACCGAACCCUGUGAAACCAAGAGCCCACAUAAGCAUCUCCUCCUUUAAGUUACAGGUGUUGUGUAUUUUGUGCCAGCAGUGGCACAGGGAGUAAUACGUGGGGAUUGAGACCAGAGCCUUCACCCUGAACUGCCUCUCCAGCCCUGCUUAGUUUAUAUUUGGAGACAAGGCCUUGCUAAAUCACUAUGUUGCUGAGAUUGUCCUUGAACUUAAGAUCCUCCUGAAUCAGCCCCCGGCGUACUGGGAUCACAGGCAUGCAACAGCAUGCCUGGCUUCAUGAAUAAUAUAUUAUUGCAGACAGUCUGUGAAUAAAGUAGUCUGGCUCUGUAAAUAAAUAGUCUGGCUCAAAAUAAAAGGAUAUAAAGAAGUUGGGGUGGAGCUCAGCGGUAGAUCCUGGGUUAAAUCCCUAGUAUGCAAAAAUAAAAGAUAAGAAGAGGGUGUGAGAUCAAGUUCAAAACAGUCAAUAUGUAACGGUGCAGUGUGGAAGGACAGGGCAAGUCGUGAGAAAGAUAAUCACGGAGGAGGAGAAAACCAAGGCUCCAAGGAACGUGUUUCAAGAAGGAAGCUGCGUAAGGAGGAAGACUGUGAACGGACUAGAAGAGCCACCCUGAAACCUCCCAAAGUGUGAAAGUGGGGCAGGGCCUGGGGGGAUGAUCAGAGUAUGCUGUGUGAGCGAAUGCAUCCGCCUUCAGUAACCCGUCGGUCUGUGUAACCAAUAAAAAAGAGUGAGGAAGGAGAAAUGCGGAAAGAAGUCAGAUCACGGCUGGGGAAAUAGCUCCGUGGCAUAAGCACCUGCCUGGCA
Molecule: long non-coding RNA, 2666 nt
Organism: Chinchilla lanigera (long-tailed chinchilla)
Lineage: Eukaryota; Metazoa; Chordata; Mammalia; Rodentia; Chinchillidae
Exons: 4
Source: RefSeq, a predicted model, not a curated record